AACGAACGCUGGCGGCAUGCCUAACACAUGCAAGUCGAACGAGACCUUCGGGUCUAGUGGCGCACGGGUGCGUAACGCGUGGGAACCUGCCCUUAGGUUCGGAAUAACUCCCCGAAAGGGGUGCUAAUACCGGAUAAUGUCUUCGGACCAAAGAUUUAUCGCCUUUGGAUGGGCCCGCGUUGGAUUAGCUAGUUGGUAGGGUAAAAGCCUACCAAGGCGACGAUCCAUAGCUGGUCUGAGAGGAGGAUCAGCCACACUGGGACUGAGACACGGCCCAGACUCCUACGGGAGGCAGCAGUGGGGAAUAUUGGACAAUGGGCGAAAGGCUGAUCCAGCAAUGCCGCGUGAGUGAUGAAGGCCUUAGGGUUGUAAAGCUCUUUUACCCGGGAUGAUAAUGACAGUACCGGGAGAAUAAGCUCCGGCUAACUCCGUG
This 433-nucleotide ribosomal RNA is filed under the name uncultured bacterium. RNAcentral's name for it is "partial 16S ribosomal RNA". It matches the Rfam family "Bacterial small subunit ribosomal RNA", at positions 29 to 507 of the family's 1533-position model. The record is from RNAcentral.